Long non-coding RNA from Clupea harengus (Atlantic herring), 2972 nucleotides. The record is from Ensembl. Lineage: Eukaryota; Metazoa; Chordata; Actinopteri; Clupeiformes; Clupeidae.
CUGCUCAAUGUUGUUCUAUAAAGUGUUCUAUUCCGCUUCCUGCCCCAGGGUUGCCCGUGCAUUUGUUUUUUAAAUGGGAAAUCCAUCUAUAACAGUAACAUUUCUUUUGAAAUAUGUCUUUUGAAAUAUGUCUUUGUAUAGAAAUAUAGGUCUUUGUUGAACUGAAUUACUAUUUUUUUUUAUAGAUAAAUUCAGAAUGCUGCUACGAGUUCAGUUUGGGGGAGAGCACAAAUACAUUAAGCUGUCUGAGCUGACAUUUGAUACUUUUUUGAAAGAAGGUUAGUAUGUUAGGUUAAAAGAGUAUCACAAGGGUCGUACACCUAAUGCAUCAUAUUUAACCAUUCCUUUUGAGAACUAGAUUGUUCUGACCAGGACAUGCAUGGGAUUUCAAACUUUGGAACCCAUCAUUUCUGAAAUUUCCUUUUUUUUCCCCACAUCAGUGUGCCUGAAAUUCAACAUACCAGAAGGCAGGUAGCUAGAUAUGAAGGUUUAUGACCAGUCUGAUACAGAGGUUGACUCUUUUGACUUUUGAAGAGAUAGUGAAGGAAUCACCUGGAGCCUUUCGAAUCAUGUUGGGCAGUGAAGGACUUGGUAGUCUUUGAGACCAUUCACAGACAGGUUAAUUUAGCGUAAAGGCUGAUGUGAGACUAUAUCCCAUUAAAUAUAACAGCUCCAUGUAACAUGUUUCUAUUUUGUAUAAUUUCCAUAAUGCACAGGUGCCUCGCAAUCAUCACCAUGCUCCGUAACAUCUGACGACACUGUCAUUCUAAACUUCUCGAUGUGUGACGAUGAAGAGGCAUCUCCUGUUGGAGCAAGUCAACCCAAAAGCCAUGUCGCAAAAGCGUUGAUUGGAAAAAUCCUGACAUCAAGGCCUGGUGGUGAACGCAUCAUGCAAGAGUAUGGAAAAACCAAAUCUUUGACAGAUGCCACUAGAAGACAGAUGAUGAACAUAUUUGCUGCUGAGAUGACAGAAACACAUGGGACAUCGCCCCCCAAAAGUGUCAGAGUGAUGUAUGCACAGGGGAUAGUUGCUUUGUUUCCCUAUCUGGAAGACCCAUUUUCACAACAUGGAUAUGAACAUUACUACGAUCCAGAGAGUGGUUCUGGAUACCUUGCAUGGCGAUUGAAGACCAUUCAAAGAAAAAGUUCAGAGGAAAGAUGUGGCUCAGUUAGCAGAUCUCCCAAAGGUAAGUUCAUUAUCUGUUACUAAUGAAAUUGAGUUGGAGAUAGGAGUCUACAAAUUUGUGUUUUGUCUUAAGUUGGUGGGCCAAGCCAUGGUCGACAACCAUUCAUAAGUGACAAAGUGCAAUCUGAUGAGGAUGUGGAAGCAGCAAUUGCAGUUUUGAGACACUCUGCUGAGGAAGACACUAUCCGUGAGAAGAUGAAAACUACCUUCAUUUAUCGCCAAGCAAUGGUCAAUGAUAAAAGUAAAGCAGCAGAUGUCUUCUUGGUCUUUCCACGGUUUCUGGACACACCAGGACUGGUAUGUCUAAAUUCACUGAAUCAUCAAAAUCAUCAAUGCAGUAUCUGUUAUCACUCAUCAUUGCUCUCUAUGUAUGUUGUAUUGCAGAUAGAACAAGAUUUCAGACUCCUGUUUGGUGAGGCCACAGCCAACACAUUUUUGGAGAGGUGGCCAACCACUUUCAGAGCAAGAGUCAUAAAAGAAAGCCAUGGACUGGUGCCUACCACAGAGCUCUUGGAUUUAAUGCGCAAUGCUGAGUCAACCGCUGAAGUUGAGAACGGGUGGGACAGUGACAUGUCUGCGAUUUUGCUGCUGCUACAUCUGCUACCACCAUCUGCGCAAGGUCGAAAAAGGCCAGGAAAGAUAUCUGCAUCUCAAGCUGUAGAUCAGCUCAUCAGAUUUCAAAAGGCUGGAACCAGCGUGCAACAACAUCUGGACAACAUCACCCAAAGCAGUCAGCCUUAUCUUCUUGCGCAGGGAUCCACCAGAAGCAGCAUUCACUCAUACUUCAUUGUGAUCGACAAGCACGCACUUCCAUGCAAGGCAACAGGGUCAGUUGGAGCCUUUGAUGAACUCAUUAAAGCCCAUUACGUCUUUGGUACGUCAUACAGUUUUUCCCUGAGCAGCUUUUUCACUUUUGUGCAAACAAACAUCUAUAAUAUUGACAUGGGCGAAACAAAGGAAACUCCCAGGAUUGCUGAAUUGCGAGCAAGAAUGUUGCAUUGAGUGAAUAACUUUUGAGACCGAACCAUGAGGUGUUUUUUUUUUUUUUUUUGCAAAAGUGACCAUGGAAGUCCAAGCGGCCUUGUUAAGCACUUAAGUUAAGUUUUUACAGUAGCUUUUCAAGAACAUUUCCAUGCAUAUGAAGUGGCAAGGUCAAAGCAAGAUUUUGUUGUUUUUCAUGUCGACAACCUGAUUUAUCCUAGGCCUUUGGAUAUACAAAUGUCUUAUGGAUUUAAUGACAAAGCUCUGUUUGUUGUCCCAUAUUGCUUUCUUUGGUGAGGUGUUUCAUAAACCAUUAUCAUAUCAUUGUCAUUAUAGUUAAGGUAUGUAUGUGUCGCGAAGCGAGAGCAUGGUCACCCCACCUGGACUUGAACCGGGGUCUACAGGUUGCCAAACAUGCACUCUGACCACAAUGCCAAAGAGCCAGGCUCAUUGGUAUGGCAGUCAGAGCACAAACUCAUCUGUAGUGACGAUCACACGGUCACACUGCCCUCACUUUCGGGAAGCGCACCCUUGCGCUUCAUGCACAAAGGCAUUCCUCGCGCAUCCACCAACUGUACUUCUCCCAUCCAGAGCGCCCCAGACACAAGUGCUUCACCAUCUAUGGGGUCUGUCACACAGGGGUCAACCUACCUGGGGGUCCCUCAUACAGUUUUAUCGAGAGGUCAUUGGAGGCGUGCCUGUAAAACUGUAUGACCCCCAAGUAGGUUGAACCCUGUGUGAGGGACCCCAUGGGUGAAGCACUUGUGUGUGUGUGGAGCGCUCUGGAUGGGAGAAGUACGGUUGG